AUUGAACGCUAGCGGGAUGCUUUACACAUGCGAGUCGAACGGCAGCGCGGACUUCGGUCUGGCGGCGAGUGGCGAACGGGUGAGUAAUGUAUCGGAACGUGCCCAGUAGCGGGGGAUAACUACGCGAAAGCGUAGCUAAUACCGCAUACGCCCUACGGGGGAAAGCAGGGGAUCGUAAGACCUUGCACUAUUGGAGCGGCCGAUAUCGAAUUAGCUAGUUGGUGAGGUAACGGCUCACCAAGGCGACGAUCCGUAGCUGGUUUGAGAGGACGACCAGCCACACUGGGACUGAGACACGGCCCAGACUCCUACGGGAGGCAGCAGUGGGGAAUUUUGGACAAUGGGGGCAACCCUGAUCCAGCCAUCCCGCGUGUGCGAUGAAGGCCUUCGGGUUGUAAAGCACUUUUGGCAGGAAAGAAACGUCGCGGGCUAAUACCCCGUGGAACUGACGGUACCUGCAGAAUAAGCACCGGCUAACUACGUG
This 484-nucleotide ribosomal RNA is filed under the name uncultured bacterium. Its description in RNAcentral is "partial 16S ribosomal RNA". It matches the Rfam family "Bacterial small subunit ribosomal RNA", at positions 30 to 507 of the family's 1533-position model. The record is from RNAcentral.